RNAcentral lists this ribosomal RNA (384 nucleotides) under uncultured bacterium. RNAcentral's name for it is "bacterial SSU rRNA". It matches the Rfam family "Bacterial small subunit ribosomal RNA", at positions 30 to 416 of the family's 1533-position model. The record is from RNAcentral.
AUUGAACGCUGGCGGCAUGCCUUACACAUGCAAGUCGAACGGUAACGGGCCUUCGGGUGCCGACGAGUGGCGAACGGGUGAGUAAUGUAUCGGAACGUACCUUUCAGUGGGGGAUAACGUAGCGAAAGUUACGCUAAUGCCGCAUAUUCUGUGAGCAGGAAGGCAGGGGAUCGCAAGACCUUGCGCUGAUUGAGCGGCCGAUAUCAGAUUAGCUAGUUGGUGAGGUAAAGGCUCACCAAGGCGACGAUCUGUAGCGGGUCUGAGAGGAUGAUCCGCCACACUGGAACUGAGACACGGUCCAGACUCCUACGGGAGGCAGCAGUGGGGAAUUUUGGACAAUGGGGGCAACCCUGAUCCAGCCAUGCCGCGUGAGUGAAGAAGGCC